UACGUAGGGUGCGAGCGUUGUCCGGAAUUAUUGGGCGUAAAGGGCUCGUAGGCGGUCUGUCACGUCAGGAGUGAAAACUCGGGGCUCAACCCCCGAGCCUGCUUCUGAUACGGGCAGACUGGAGGUAUGCAGGGGAGAACGGAAUUCCUGGUGUAGCGGUGAAAUGCGCAGAUAUCAGGAGGAACGACCGGUGGCGAAGGCGGUUCUCUGGGCAUUACCUGACGCUGAGGAGCGAAAGUGUGGGGAGCGAACAGG
Molecule: ribosomal RNA, 255 nt
Filed under: uncultured bacterium
Lineage: Bacteria
Description: partial 16S ribosomal RNA
Rfam family: Bacterial small subunit ribosomal RNA
Source: RNAcentral